RNAcentral lists this ribosomal RNA (774 nucleotides) under uncultured Neocallimastigales. RNAcentral describes it as "partial large subunit ribosomal RNA". It matches the Rfam family "Eukaryotic large subunit ribosomal RNA", at positions 23 to 646 of the family's 3401-position model. The record is from RNAcentral. Lineage: Eukaryota; Fungi; Neocallimastigomycota; Neocallimastigomycetes; Neocallimastigales.
AGAGAGAGACAUGCGCGCAUAUCAAUAAGCGGAGGAAAAGAAACUAACUAGGAUUCCCUCAGUAACGGCGAGUGAAGCGGGAAGAGCUCAAAUUUGAAAUCUUCAAGGUUCUACCUUGACGAAUUGUAGUUUAAAGAAGUGUUUUCUGUUGGAGUUUUGGUAAAAGUUCUUUGGAAUAGGACAUCAUGGAGGGUGAGAAUCCCGUAUUUGACCAUUAUUUCCAGCUUUGUGAUACACUUUCAAAGAGUCGGAUUGUUUGGGAAUGCAGUCCAAAAUGGGUGGUAAAUUUCAUCUAAAGCUAAAUAUUGGCGAGAGACCGUUAGCGAACAAGUACCGUGAGGGAAAGAUGAAAAGAACUUUGAAAAGAGAGUUAAACAGUACGUGAAAUUGUCAAAAGGGAAGCGUUUGACACCAGUGUUGUUUUUCUGAAAAUCAAUUAAAGAACUGUUUAUGCUAAGCUGUUUAGACUUUAUCAGCUAUCUGUUUAGUUUUGAGCUUUUCUUUAAUGCACUUUUCAGUUAACAAGUCAACAUCAAUUUCUUUUGCUGUAAAAAAGCUUGAGGAAGGUGGCUUGAGAUUCGUCUUAAGUGUUUAUAGCCUCUUGCCUAUGCAGUCGGAGAGAUUGAGGUCUGCAGCGUAGAUCCUUCGGGGCUAAAUGCAUUUGUGCUAAGUUAUAGCAUUUUAUAGACAACUUGUUGACUAUGGUUUGUCUUGUAGCUUACUCGCUUAUGUUAUUUUACCUACGCUUAGGAUGUUGAUGUGAUACUGCGAGCA